RNAcentral lists this long non-coding RNA (730 nucleotides) under Triticum aestivum (bread wheat). RNAcentral's name for it is "long non-coding RNA (TAES_LNC014058)". Lineage: Eukaryota; Viridiplantae; Streptophyta; Magnoliopsida; Poales; Poaceae. The record is from RNAcentral.
CAGGGAGCAGGGAUCAGGUGACAUGCACCUUUGCAUGUCAUCGUGUGACUAGCGGCCCAAAUUCAUAUUUAAACAUUGUAAAAAAAUCUGAAAAAAAUCAUGCAUGUUCAUAGCACAUAUUAAGAUAAUCCCUAAAAAAUUCAGAUCAAAAUUCAGAACAUACACCAAGAAGCAAAAAAGAGAAACUCAUAUGUGAAUAGUAUAGAGAACCAUUCGCAACUAUUCAUAACAGAUUUCUCUUUUUUGCUUCUUGAUGUAUGUUUCGAAUUUUGAUCUGAAUUUUUUACGGAUUAUCUUAAUAUGUGCUAUGAACAUGCAUGAUUUUUUUUCAAAUUUUUUACAAUGUUUAAAUAUGAAUUUAGGCCGCAAGGUGACAUGCAAAGGUGCAUGUCACCUGAUCCCUGUCACAACAGCACAACCCAAAUGAAAACAACUCAGAAAAACAGCAAACAAUCACACACGACGACAGCAGUGAUGCUGCCUACAACAAUGGUUCUGAGGUCUGCAUCAUAAACAUACGUUUGCUUCAUCGCAAACCAGAAGGAACAUCAUCACAUAUCAAGUUCGUCUUACUCCAACAACCAUAUUUCUUCUACACAGAAGAAGAUAGACCUAGCACGGCAAUUAGGAACAAACUACAACCGGAAGCAACACAUUCCACUUCCGAUCCACUAACGGCGUUGACGGGGAGGACGGCUUAGGCCCUCUCGCCACGGAUGCGGCGGGCGAG